Long non-coding RNA from Sparus aurata (gilthead seabream), 1146 nucleotides. The record is from Ensembl. NCBI's taxonomy places the organism in Eukaryota, Metazoa, Chordata, Actinopteri, Spariformes, Sparidae.
AUGCGGAAGAAAUCAGCAGGGUCCCUCUACAUCCAGUGGGCCAUCUUCCUCAUCGCCUACGAAGCCAUAAAGUGUGGACAGCACCCCUGGGAAGGACUUUCCCCCCUGAAGGACAACGCUGGCACCGGAGGCCCAGAAGAAGAGGUACGCCAGUUUCCUGUGGAGCAAAGAAACAACGCUGGCACUGGAGGCCCAGAAGAAGAGGUACACCAGCUUCCAAAGGAGCAGAGAUGCAGCGCUGACACAGGAGUUCCUGAAGAAGAUGUAGAACACCCACCAGCACAUCCACAGAACACAGAGAACAACAAACACCACAAACGGGACCUUUACGGAUACCAAGACGGAAAGACUCUUAAUGAACCACACUUGUCAAACACAUUUCUCCAAUUGGCAAAAAUGGUUGCCAAUAAUAGUCCAAAUCCGAAGAACUGUUAUGUGUGUGGCUUCAUACCCCACAACACAAAAGAAGGACUCCCGCUGAUGGCUCUGCCUGCUUCAUCCUGCGACACUUGUCACAUACUUAACUUCAAUUCUACCAAGAAGCACUGUACAUGUCCCAAACCGCCACAAAAUAGACCAUUAUACUGCAAUGAACUUGUCACAAAUUGUUAUUCCUGUGACACUUCUAACCCUAUCACCCUCACACUUGUUCCAGAGACACUGGAAUGGUGUGUCGAAAGAAAAGGGAAUAUUGACGUUGGAACAUCUAAAUGUGACUCUAUAUAUGCUUCACCACAGCAAGCAAACGAUGAGUCCAAAGGAAAUGUACCUCCAGGACAAAAUUCCUCUCCAGGCUUUAUUGAGAAUUAUAACCCCCUUGUUACAGUGAUGAAUCAUUGCUCCAUACCUUUACCCAAGGGUGUGUACUGGAUUUACGGCUCAAAGGCCUAUGAAUACUUACCAAAAGGAUUGUCUGGAACAUGUGGUUUGGGUCAUGUGAUACCAGCUAUGAGAGUCCUUGCUUUGCCACCGAAAGUUCACAUGGUAAAAAGGGACUUAUAUACACACACACAAACCCCAUGGACAAGAUUUUUUGAUGCCCUCAUUCCAAGUUAUGGAGUCAUGGCAUCCUUGGACCAAAUAAGAGACCUCUCCCAUGCACAUGUACGUUCAUACCUGACCACAAUGCCAACUUACAAGAAAUAA